UUCUUUUUCUUCUUCUCCUUCUUCCCAGUUUCUUCAGGUUCUGCGCCAUCCUCCGCUUCAGCAGAUUUCUUCUUUUUCUUUUUCUUCUCUCCUUUAGUAACAGGGGAUUCAUCACCUGCUGCUUCCUCGGUUUGAUCAUCUAUACUCAUUUUCUUUUCCUCAUUCCCAGUGUGUCCCAUAACAGAAUCAGCAGAAGGAUUGUAAACCUUAGCUGGUGUUAUCAACCCUCCUUUUUUGCGAUCCUUGUCAUAAACUUCAAUCUUAGGUUUGCCCUUAGCAGACCCAGCUGAUUUGCUCAACUCUUUGCCUUCUAAGGCUCUUAAGCGUGCCUCAAGCUUGGCACGAUUCUCCAAACCCAUGGAAUUAUCUUGGCUAUCUGCAAGAGCAUCGUAUCGAAUAGCCAAUGCAGUCUUUGCAGCAAGAGAUCUUGAAAUUUUACCCUUGUGUUUUGGUGCUGCCUGUCCAAUCAAAGAUGCAUGAUAUAUAAGCCCAUAUUUUGGAGUUGCGUGUUUUGUCUUCAAAGCUCUGAAAAGA
This 534-nucleotide unclassified non-coding RNA is filed under the name Hevea brasiliensis (rubber tree). Lineage: Eukaryota; Viridiplantae; Streptophyta; Magnoliopsida; Malpighiales; Euphorbiaceae. The record is from RNAcentral.